UACGUAGGGUGCGAGCGUUAAUCGGAAUUACUGGGCGUAAAGCGUGCGCAGGCGGUUUUGUAAGACAGUUGUGAAAUCCCCGGGCUCAACCUGGGAAUUGCAUCUGUGACUGCAUAGCUAGAGUACGGUAGAGGGGGAUGGAAUUCCGCGUGUAGCAGUGAAAUGCGUAGAUAUGCGGAGGAACACCGAUGGCGAAGGCAAUCCCCUGGACCUGUACUGACGCUCAUGCACGAAAGCGUGGGGAGCAAACAGG
RNAcentral lists this ribosomal RNA (253 nucleotides) under uncultured bacterium. RNAcentral's name for it is "partial 16S ribosomal RNA". It matches the Rfam family "Bacterial small subunit ribosomal RNA", at positions 524 to 776 of the family's 1533-position model. The record is from RNAcentral.